Non-coding RNA from Corylus avellana, 734 nucleotides. The record is from RefSeq and is a predicted model, not a curated record. Lineage: Eukaryota; Viridiplantae; Streptophyta; Magnoliopsida; Fagales; Betulaceae.
UUACUUGACAGUUUAUUGCUUUCACAGGAAAAUAUAGAGAUACAUUAACAGGAGUGGACCAAUCAGGCUGAUUUAGUGUGCUGCUUGCAACAUUUGCAGGUGGUGGUUCAAUGGGCCAAGAAAAUUUCUGUAGUGGUUAGAUGCACACUAGGGCAUGAAUUUGAAUCUCACAAUGGGAAUCUCCAUGCUUGAUUAAUGUAAACCACCUUGGGUAGGGCUGAGUCAGUCGGACUUGAAGGAGUGCCCACGAUUCCCGCUGCCUAAACCUCUCGUGUCACUCCUCGCAGGAAAAUCAAGUAGCUGAAGAAUGUUGAAGCAUACCAAAACAAAAGUAGCAGCAUGAAGCCAAAAAUUGUUCCUGCAUUACAUAAUCUCCCUGAAAAUCUGUUGAGCUCAGUGGUGCUGCAGUGAUUUAACCUCUUUGCCGGACUCACGCAUCUGGUCUGCUAUGCAAGCUUCUUUCACCAAUUCAUUUUUGAACUUGGAAGCUUUUGAAUCUCAGGUGAGCAACAACUUCUCUUACAUGGAAAAUUUCUUCCUACAGUCAUAUGGUGAUGACGGUCGUGUAAUGUUCUCGUGAAUUGAUCACAGAUGGUUCAAUCUCGUCUAUUGUUAUGUUAGUUUCCCAUGUAUUCAAUUGGUUUGUAAUUCUGUUUAAAGUUAUUCAAGGGAUUGGUGCCUUGUGGAAAUGCCUUCCCCUUUCAAAAAGAGAAACCCAAUUGUUUUUGUUUCGA